RNAcentral lists this ribosomal RNA (468 nucleotides) under uncultured bacterium. RNAcentral's name for it is "partial 16S ribosomal RNA". It matches the Rfam family "Bacterial small subunit ribosomal RNA", at positions 28 to 507 of the family's 1533-position model. The record is from RNAcentral.
GACGAACGCUGGCGGCGUGCUUAACACAUGCAAGUCGAACGGAAGGGCCCUGCUUUUGUGGGGUGCUCGAGUGGCGAACGGGUGAGUAACACGUGAGUAACCUGCCCUUGACUUUGGGAUAACUUCAGGAAACUGGGGCUAAUACCGGAUAGGAGCUCCUGCUGCAUGGUGGGGGUUGGAAAGUUUCGGCGGUUGGGGAUGGACUCGCGGCUUAUCAGCCUGUUGGUGGGGUAGUGGCUUACCAAGGCUUUGACGGGUAGCCGGCCUGAGAGGGUGACCGGCCACAUUGGGACUGAGAUACGGCCCAGACUCCUACGGGAGGCAGCAGUGGGGAAUAUUGCACAAUGGGCGGAAGCCUGAUGCAGCAACGCCGCGUGCGGGAUGACGGCCUUCGGGUUGUAAACCGCUUUCGCCUGUGACGAAGCGUGAGUGACGGUAAUGGGUAAAGAAGCACCGGCUAACUACGUG